CCUACGGGUGGCAGCAGUGGGGAAUAUUGGGCAAUGGGCGCAAGCCUGACCCAGCAACGCCGCGUGAAGGAUGAAGGUUUUCGGAUUGUAAACUUCUGUCGCGAGGGAAGAAGAAAGUGACGGUACCUUAGGAAUAAGCCUCGGCUAACUACGUGCCAGCAGCCGCGGUAAUACGUAGGAGGCAAGCGUUAUCCGGAAUGACUGGGCGUAAAGGGUGCGUAGGUGGUUUGACAAGUUGGUAGCGUAACUCCGAGGCUUAACCUCGGCACUACUACCAAAACUGUUGGACUCGAGUGCAGGAGGGGCAAAUGGAAUUCCUAGUGUAGCGGUGGAAUGCGUAGAUAUUAGGAGGAACACCAGUGGCGAAGGCGAUUUGCUGGACUGUAACUGACACUGAGGCACGAAAGCGUGGGGAGCAAACAGGAUUAGAUACCCGUGUAGUC
RNAcentral lists this ribosomal RNA (443 nucleotides) under uncultured bacterium. Its description in RNAcentral is "partial 16S ribosomal RNA". It matches the Rfam family "Bacterial small subunit ribosomal RNA", at positions 338 to 795 of the family's 1533-position model. The record is from RNAcentral.